Phrynosoma platyrhinos (Desert horned lizard) is the source of this 72-nucleotide non-coding RNA. Lineage: Eukaryota; Metazoa; Chordata; Lepidosauria; Squamata; Phrynosomatidae. The record is from the annotation of a GenBank genome assembly.
GCCAGUGUAGCGUAGUGGCUUGAGGACUGGACUAUGACUCUGGAAACCAGGGUUCGAAUCCCAGCUCAGCCG